UACGUAGGGUGCGAGCGUUAAUCGGAAUUACUGGGCGUAAAGCGUGCGCAGGCGGUUUUGUAAGCCAGAUGUGAAAGCCCCGGGCUUAACCUGGGAACUGCGUUUGAAACUGGGAGACUUGAGUGUGGCAGAGGGGGGUGGAAUUCCACGUGUAGCAGUGAAAUGCGUAGAUAUCGGAAGGAACACCAGUGGCGAAAGCGGCUUCCUGGUCCAGCACCGACGUUCAGGCACGAAAGCGUGGGGAGCAAACAGG
RNAcentral lists this ribosomal RNA (253 nucleotides) under uncultured bacterium. Its description in RNAcentral is "partial 16S ribosomal RNA". It matches the Rfam family "Bacterial small subunit ribosomal RNA", at positions 524 to 776 of the family's 1533-position model. The record is from RNAcentral.